Molecule: ribosomal RNA, 253 nt
Filed under: uncultured bacterium
Lineage: Bacteria
Description: partial 16S ribosomal RNA
Rfam family: Bacterial small subunit ribosomal RNA
Source: RNAcentral
UACGUAGGGUGCGAGCGUUAAUCGGAAUUACUGGGCGUAAAGCGUGCGCAGGCGGUUCGACAAGUCCGAUGUGAAAGCCCCGGGCUCAACCUGGGAAUGGCAUUGGAAACUGGCGGGCUGGAGUGUGGCAGAGGGGGGUGGAAUUCCCGGUGUAGUGGUGAUAUGCGUAGAUAUCGGGAGGAACACCAGUGGCGAAGGCGGCUUUCUGGGCCUUACCUGACGCUGAGACGCGAAAGCGUGGGGAGCGAACCGG